RNAcentral lists this ribosomal RNA (440 nucleotides) under uncultured bacterium. RNAcentral describes it as "partial 16S ribosomal RNA". It matches the Rfam family "Bacterial small subunit ribosomal RNA", at positions 338 to 795 of the family's 1533-position model. The record is from RNAcentral.
CCUACGGGUGGCAGCAGUGGGGAAUAUUGCACAAUGGGGGAAACCCUGAUGCAGCGACGCCGCGUGAAGGAAGAAGUAUUUCGGUAUGUAAACUUCUAUCAGCAGGGAAGAAAAUGACGGUACCUGACUAAGAAGCCCCGGCUAACUACGUGCCAGCAGCCGCGGUAAUACGUAGGGGGCAAGCGUUAUCCGGAUUUACUGGGUGUAAAGGGAGCGUAGGCGGUUUAGCAAGUCAGAAGUGAAAGCCCGGGGCUCAACUCCGGGACUGCUUUUGAAACUGUUGAACUAGAGUGCAGGAGAGGUAGGUGGAAUGCCUAGUGUAGCGGUGAAAUGCGUAGAUAUUAGGCGGAACACCAGUGGCGAAGGCGGCUUACUGGACUGUAAAUGACGCUGAGGCUCGAAAGCGUGGGGAGCAAACAGGAUUAGAUACCCUUGUAGUC